GAUGAAGAACGUAGUGAAAUGCGAUAAGUAAUGUGAAUUGCAGAAUUCAGUGAAUCAUCGAAUCUUUGAACGCACCUUGCGCUCCUUGGUAUUCCGAGGAGCAUGCCUGUUUGAGUGUCAUUAAUAUAUCAACCUCUUCAGCUUAUGCUUGUUGAGUGUUGGAUGGUGGGGGUUUGCUGGUGUCUUAUGAAGUCAGCUCCUCUGAAAUGCAUUAGCGGAACAAUUUGUUGACCGUUCAUUGGUGUGAUAAAAAUAUCUACGCUGUUGACGUCAGUCAGUUCAGCUUCUAACAGUCCAUUGACUUGGACAAAUUUUUCAUUAAUGUGACCUCAAAUCAGGUAGGACUACCCGCUGAACUUAAGCAUAUCAAUAAGCGGAGGA
RNAcentral lists this unclassified non-coding RNA (381 nucleotides) under soil metagenome. RNAcentral describes it as "partial contains 5.8S ribosomal RNA, internal transcribed spacer 2, and large subunit ribosomal RNA". The stretch from base 1 to 120 matches the Rfam family "5.8S ribosomal RNA", at positions 35 to 154 of the family's 154-position model. The record is from RNAcentral.